AGUUCUAAUGAAGGUGCUUCUGAAGCAGAAUUACCCAAGCAGCUGUUCUUGUGUGAGGUCUGGACACGGGAAAAUUGCCUUUGAGGAGCCAAAUCCCUGCAGCCGGGCUGGGUGCUGCACGCGGGAAGAGGGUCAGGCCCCACGCUGCAGCCACCUGCAUCACGAGCUCACGGGCACAGUGAUGGCUGCCCUUCAUCCCAUGUGCUCAGCCCCGCGCCUCCGCGGGCAGCGGGAGGAAAGGGUUAAGGAGCUGCCAGCGGGGAUGAGGCGAGGGAAUUCAGCUGCUGACGCAGCUCAGGCAGUAAAAAGACUCAGAACGAGUAGUGCUCAAACGGGUGGCAUGGGAAGAAACGGGCGGCCGAGACGUGGUGCUGUCAGGGAUGUUCUCCUGCGUGGCGUGGGAUGGCUGAGCACGGCACAGCGUGGCACAGCACGGCACGGCAUGGCAUUGCCAUCGCAUGGGGUGGCAGAGGGGUGGCCCGCCGGCAGCAGCCAGCUUGCACACGGCUCUGCUGAGCCACCGCUGUCAGAGAACAGAGGCUGCUGUGGCAUUGGAACAUUGGCUCUGGAGCUCCUGAGAGCGGCCUGAGCAUGGGUUGCUCCCACCUUGCUGCCCCCAGAGCCGGUUACCAAGCCAGGCCCUAUGGAAUACAAUAGAAUAAUCGAUGGUCCAUUGUUGCUGGGCUUAAUUUAGCCAUUCAGGCGGGGAAGGAACAAUGUGAGCGUACGUAAGCAGGAGAAAAAGCAGCAGAUGAAUCAGCCCCGAGCCCUCUGUGUGCAGGGGCUGAGCGAGGCAGGCAGACGGACGCAUCUGCAGCAGUGCAGGUAAUGGGGAUGUACUUCGCUUUGUGCAAUGCCAGGUCUAAAAUGGCUGCGGCUGUGCUUGGUGUUAAGCAGCGGCACGGCCACGAAUCCCUCUCAAGCUGACCCAGCAGCCCGGAUGGAGCUCUGGGGGGACACAGCCUGGGAGGGGCAGCCCCACAGCCACGCCACGAGCGGGGCACCGUCCCAGGACACCCCCAGCACGCGCUCAGCCCGACCCGAAAGGUCCCAUAAAUGGCACCGUGGAGUGCCCCAGCACCCAUCCGCCCCACAGCCCAGCUCAGAGCCCACGUCCCUCCCACUGCCCUGCUGCUCAC
Long non-coding RNA from Gallus gallus (chicken), 1139 nucleotides. RefSeq lists it as uncharacterized. The transcript is spliced from 3 exons. The record is from RefSeq and is a predicted model, not a curated record. Lineage: Eukaryota; Metazoa; Chordata; Aves; Galliformes; Phasianidae.